This 250-nucleotide ribosomal RNA is filed under the name uncultured bacterium. Its description in RNAcentral is "partial 16S ribosomal RNA". It matches the Rfam family "Bacterial small subunit ribosomal RNA", at positions 524 to 773 of the family's 1533-position model. The record is from RNAcentral.
UACGUAGGUGGCUAGCGUUGUCCGGAAUCAUUGGGCGUAAAGAGCGCGUAGGUGGCUUGCCAGGUCUGAUGUGAAAUCCUGGGGCUCAACCCCAGGCCUGCAUCGGAAACCGGCUUGCUCGAGUCUGGGAGAGGAGAGUGGAAUUCCUGGUGUAGCGGUGAAAUGCGUAGAUAUCAGGAGGAACACCGGUAGCGAAGGCGGCUCUCUGGAACAGUACUGACACUGAGGCGCGAAAGCUAGGGGAGCAAAC